RNAcentral lists this transfer RNA (72 nucleotides) under Nocardiopsis exhalans. Its description in RNAcentral is "tRNA-Arg". It matches the Rfam family "tRNA". Rfam says of the family: Transfer RNA (tRNA) molecules are approximately 80 nucleotides in length. Their secondary structure includes four short double-helical elements and three loops (D, anti-codon, and T loops). Further hydrogen bonds mediate the characteristic L-shaped molecular structure. tRNAs have two regions of fundamental functional importance: the anti-codon, which is responsible for specific mRNA codon recognition, and the 3' end, to which the tRNAs corresponding amino acid is attached (by aminoacyl-tRNA synthetases). tRNAs cope with the degeneracy of the genetic code in two manners: having more than one tRNA (with a specific anti-codon) for a particular amino acid; and 'wobble' base-pairing, i.e. permitting non-standard base-pairing at the 3rd anti-codon position. Lineage: Bacteria; Bacillati; Actinomycetota; Actinomycetes; Streptosporangiales; Nocardiopsidaceae. The record is from RNAcentral. RNAcentral also lists the same sequence under 1 other name.
GCCCCCAUAGCUCAGGGGAUAGAGCACCGGCCUCCGGAGCCGGGUGCGGAGGUUCGAAUCCUCCUGGGGGCA